GACGAACGCUGGCGGCGUGCUUAACACAUGCAAGUCGAACGCUGAAGCUCAGCUUUUGUUGGGUGGAUGAGUGGCGAACGGGUGAGUAACACGUGAGUAACCUGCCCCCUUCUUUGGGAUAACGCCCGGAAACGGGUGCUAAUACUGGAUAUUCACUGGUCUUCGCAUGGGGGUUGGUGGAAAGGGUUUUUCUGGUGGGGGAUGGGCUCGAGGCCUAUCAGCUGGUUGGUGGGGUGUUGGCCUACCAAGGGUUUGAGGGGUAGCCGACCUGAGAGGGUGACCGGUAACAUUGGGACUGAGAUACGGCCCAGACUCAUACGGGAGGCAGCAGUGGGGAGAAUUACACAAUGGGCGCAAGCCUGAUGCAGCGACGCCACGUGAGGGAUGGAGGCCUUCGGGUUGUGAACCUCUUUCGCUCAUGGUCAAGCCGCAACAAUGGUUGUGGUGAGGGUAGUGGGUAAAGAAGCGCCGGCUAACUACGUG
RNAcentral lists this ribosomal RNA (483 nucleotides) under uncultured bacterium. RNAcentral describes it as "partial 16S ribosomal RNA". It matches the Rfam family "Bacterial small subunit ribosomal RNA", at positions 28 to 507 of the family's 1533-position model. The record is from RNAcentral.